Molecule: ribosomal RNA, 1027 nt
Filed under: uncultured archaeon
Lineage: Archaea
Description: bacterial SSU rRNA
Rfam family: Archaeal small subunit ribosomal RNA
Source: RNAcentral
UCCUGCCAGAGGUUACUGCUAUCGGUGUUCGACUAAGCCAUGCAAGUCAUAUGCUCUUCGUGAACAUGGCAUACUGCUCAGUAACACGUGGAUAACCUGCCCUUGGGUCUGGGAUAACCCCGGGAAACUGGGGAUAAUACCGGAUAACGCAUAUGUGCUGGAAUGCUUUAUGCGUAAAACGGAUUCGUCCGCCCAAGGAUGGGUCUGCGGCCUAUCAGGUAGUAGUGGGUGUAAUGUACCUACUAGCCAACAACGGGUACGGGUUGUGAGAGCAAGAGCCCGGAGAUGGAUCCUGAGACAUGAAUCCAGGCCCUACGGGGCGCAGCAGGCGCGAAAACUUUACAAUGCGGGAAACCGUGAUAAGGGAACACCGAGUGCCAGCAUCAUAUGCUGGCUGUCCAGAUGUGUAAACUACAUCUGUUAGCAAGGGCCGGGCAAGACCGGUGCCAGCCGCCGCGGUAACACCGGCGGCCCGAGUGGUGACCGUUAUUAUUGGGUCUAAAGGGUCCGUAGCCGGUUUGGUCAGUCCUCCGGGAAAUCUGAUAGCUUAACUGUUAGGCUUUCGGGGGAUACUGCCAGGCUUGGAACCGGGAGAGGUAAGAGGUACUACAGGGGUAGGAGUGAAAUCUUGUAAUCCCUGUGAGACCACCUGUGGCGAAGGCGUCUUACCAGAACGGGUUCGACGGUGAGGGACGAAAGCUGGGGGCACGAACCGGAUUAGAUACCCGGGUAGUCCCAGCCGUAAACUAUGCUCGCUAGGUGUCAGGCAUGGCGCGACCGUGUCUGGUGCCGCAGGGAAGCCGUGAAGCGAGCCACCUGGGAAGUACGGCCGCAAGGCUGAAACUUAAAGGAAUUGGCGGGGGAGCACAACAACGGGUGGAGCCUGCGGUUUAAUUGGACUCAACGCCGGACAACUCACCGGGAACGACAGCAAUAUGUAGGCCAGGCUGAAGACCUUGCCUGAAUCGCUGAGAGGAGGUGCAUGGCCGUCGCCAGUUCGUACUGUGAAGCAUCCUGUUAAGUCAGG